RNAcentral lists this ribosomal RNA (152 nucleotides) under uncultured Escherichia sp. RNAcentral's name for it is "partial 16S ribosomal RNA". It matches the Rfam family "Bacterial small subunit ribosomal RNA", at positions 381 to 525 of the family's 1533-position model. The record is from RNAcentral. Lineage: Bacteria; Pseudomonadati; Pseudomonadota; Gammaproteobacteria; Enterobacterales; Enterobacteriaceae.
GCCUGAUGCAGCCAUGCCGCGUGUAUGAAGAAGGCCUUCGGGUUGUAAAGUACUUUCAGCGGGGAGGAAGGGAGUAAAGUUAAUACCUUUGCUCAUUGACGUUACCCGCAGAAGAAGCACCGGCUAACUCCGUGCCAGCAGCCGCGGUAAUA